AUGGCCACCUUCCCCCAGUGCAGGAGUGAAUUUGGCCCUCGAGCAGGGAGAAGGGAGGGGGCUGAGCCAGUCCCCCAGCCUCCCGCAGCCCCUGGGGGAGAUGAGAUGAGCGGGAAGCGGCUGCUGCGGAGGGAGGCAGCUCUCCAGCAAGCUGCAGCCGUGGCUCCGCAAGGCACACACUGUUCCAGCCUCCUCCCGCUGCGCCGGGUGCUCCGGCAAGACAGCUUGUCCCCAUCACUGCUGCGCCCCCCUUCCCCAGGGGAAUCCCCCAGCCACCCAGCAUUGCCACAGCCGUGUGCCCACCCAGCACCCAGGGGUAACGUGGGGCGCCGGGCAGCCCUGGAGCACCAGAGAUCAGAGGGGGAUCCGGGGGCUGUUGGGAUGGGAACGUCAGCGCACCCCCAGGCAGCGGGAAGGGGACGAGAUGUCUGCUCCGGCCAUGCCCGCUGCCCAGCUGCGGCACGCAGCCAGCACAGGGGCCUCGGGAGUAACGGAUGUGACAGAGGAAAACACAAGAAAUGGCUUAUUUCCCGUUGGGCUGAGAAGGAAGUGGCACAUAGAGUGGCUGGGCUGGGAAAGGGACUUGGCGUCGGGAGGAAGAGAAGCCGUGGGCCAGGAGGUGCAGCAUUGCCCAGAGCCAGCAGUGGGGAGGCUCUGUGGACAAGUCACCCUUGGGCUCUCUGGGACCAGGGAGAAGACCAAGAUGGCCAGUUUUCGGGGCAGGGAGGCACAGCUGCCUGCAGUUUCUCCACAGGAGGCUGUCUUUCCCCACGGGCAGAACCGCCUUGCAAAGCGGGCACCGGGGAAGGCUGGCAGCCCCUCGCCCUGCUCAGCAGCACCUGCACCAGGAAUGCAGCCAGCCAAAGAGAUCUGGGGGUCCAGGCAGGGAGCAGCAGCCCAGACACAGUCACUACAAAUUUCUGCAAAGCUCAGAGGCAAUUGGAGGCCAAGCAGGGGUCAGACAGGCCCUGCAUUUGUUUUGGGAGAGAUGCUCAGGGAUGCAGCGCUGAUACCAAGGGGUGUUCGCAGCAGCUGGGGUGUCCUGGCCCAGCCCAAGCUCCCACUUUGGGGCGGUGGUACCGGGCAGUUUGCGCAUGCUGUGCUGCCAUCCCCGCUCUGGGAAGCAUCUCCCCACCUGCAAACACAAAGAGCCUGCUGCCGGCUUGA
Molecule: long non-coding RNA, 1167 nt
Filed under: Anser cygnoides (Swan goose)
Lineage: Eukaryota; Metazoa; Chordata; Aves; Anseriformes; Anatidae
Description: lncRNA (ENSACDG00005004523.1)
Source: RNAcentral